Molecule: ribosomal RNA, 153 nt
Filed under: Cyprinodon variegatus (sheepshead minnow)
Lineage: Eukaryota; Metazoa; Chordata; Actinopteri; Cyprinodontiformes; Cyprinodontidae
Description: 5.8S ribosomal RNA (ENSCVAG00000010352.1)
Rfam family: 5.8S ribosomal RNA
About the family: 5.8S ribosomal RNA (5.8S rRNA) is a component of the large subunit of the eukaryotic ribosome. It is transcribed by RNA polymerase I as part of the 45S precursor that also contains 18S and 28S rRNA.
Source: RNAcentral
AACCAUUAACGGUGGAUCACUCGGCUCGAGGUUCGAUGAAGAACGUGGCAAAAUGCGAUAAUUGAUGCGAUUCGCAAGCCUUGUGAGUCAUCAAGUUUUUGAACGCAAAUGGCGCGAUAGGUUUAAGCCUAUUGCAUGUCUGGUUGAGGGUUG